UACGAAGGGGGCUAGCGUUGCUCGGAAUCACUGGGCGUAAAGCGCACGUAGGCGGCUUUUUAAGUCAGGGGUGAAAUCCUGGAGCUCAACUCCAGAACUGCCUUUGAUACUGGGAAGCUUGAGUUCGGGAGAGGUGAGUGGAACUGCGAGUGUAGAGGUGAAAUUCGUAGAUAUUCGCAAGAACACCAGUGGCGAAGGCGGCUCACUGGCCUGAUACUGACGCUGAGGUGCGAAAGCGUGGGGAGUAAACAGG
RNAcentral lists this ribosomal RNA (253 nucleotides) under uncultured bacterium. RNAcentral describes it as "partial 16S ribosomal RNA". It matches the Rfam family "Bacterial small subunit ribosomal RNA", at positions 524 to 776 of the family's 1533-position model. The record is from RNAcentral.